RNAcentral lists this ribosomal RNA (431 nucleotides) under uncultured prokaryote. Its description in RNAcentral is "bacterial SSU rRNA". It matches the Rfam family "Bacterial small subunit ribosomal RNA", at positions 355 to 796 of the family's 1533-position model. The record is from RNAcentral.
UCGAGAAUCUUCGGCAAUGGGCGCAAGCCUGACCGAGCGACGCUGCGUGCGGGAUGAAGGCCCUUGGGUUGUAAACCGCUGUCAGGGGGGAUGAAAGCUUCGGCUUGACAGAGCCCCAGAGGAAGCGCGGGCUAAGUUCGUGCCAGCAGCCGCGGUAAUACGAACUGCGCAAACGUUAUUCGGAAUCACUGGGCUUACAGGGUGCGUAGGCGGCCCACCAGGUCAGAUGUGAAAUCCCACAGCUCAACUGUGGAACGGCAUUUGAAACCGGCGGGCUUGAGUGGACUAGAGGUAAACGGAACUUCCGGUGGAGCGGUGAAAUGUGUUGAGAUCGGAAGGAACACCAGAGGCGAAAGCGGUUUACUGGAGUCUGUCUGACGCUGAGGCACGAAAGCCAGGGGAGCGAACGGGAUUAGAUACCCCCGUAGUCC